AGAGUUUGAUCAUGGCUCAGGACGAACGCUGGCGGCGUGCUUAACACAUGCAAGUCGAACGGAAAGGCCCUUUCGGGGGUACUCGAGUGGCGAACGGGUGAGUAACACGUGGGUGAUCUGCCCCGCACUUUGGGAUAAGCCUGGGAAACUGGGUCUAAUACCGAAUACACCUUGCUGGUUGCAUGACCUGGUGGGGGAAAGCUUUUGCGGUGUGGGAUGGGCCCGCGGCCUAUCAGCUUGUUGGUGGGGUGAUGGCCUACCAAGGCGACGACGGGUAGCCGGCCUGAGAGGGUGUCCGGCCACACUGGGACUGAGAUACGGCCCAGACUCCUACGGGAGGCAGCAGUGGGGAAUAUUGCACAAUGGGCGCAAGCCUGAUGCAGCGACGCCGCGUGAGGGAUGACGGCCUUCGGGUUGUAAACCUCUUUCAGUACCGACGAAGCGCGAGUGACGGUAGGUACAGAAGAAGCACCGGCCAACUACGUGCCAGCAGCGGCGGUAAUAC
Molecule: ribosomal RNA, 505 nt
Filed under: uncultured bacterium
Lineage: Bacteria
Description: bacterial SSU rRNA
Rfam family: Bacterial small subunit ribosomal RNA
Source: RNAcentral